Molecule: long non-coding RNA, 580 nt
Filed under: Prunus dulcis (almond)
Lineage: Eukaryota; Viridiplantae; Streptophyta; Magnoliopsida; Rosales; Rosaceae
Description: sRNA ncRNA
Source: RNAcentral
AGAAGCUCCGCCAUGAUCAGUUGACGGUCUGUUUUGUUCAUCUGUGUGUGCCUAUUUUCUCAGGAAAAUAGAUCACAUAUGGAGAGGCAGCAGACUUUGAAACUUUGAUUGGAGGUCUACUUCUUCCUUAAAAGCAUGGGUACGACAAGAUAUACACAUAAUAUCUCUUUUUAUAUAUUUUUCCUCUUCUUCUUUAAUUAGUUUUACGUUUUUCUUUUCUUCUGGUUAAUUUUUCUGUAAUCUUUCUUGUUUUAACAGGUGAAGGGAUGAUUUGAAUCAAACCAAACCCAGCUAAUAAAGGAUGAGUUAAGGCUUCGACCUCAGCUGAAGGCUCUGCCAUAGAAAUGGGUGUUGGCGUGGGAGAGUAACUAUAUCUAUAGAAAUGGUUAUGUUGUAUUACAUCUGGCCAGGAGGAGACCUUUAUAAAAGUGUCUCUUGGCAUCACAAAUGUAAUAUUUAUGAAUAAAAUAAGUGUUACAAUUUGAAUGCUUACCUUUCCGUACGACGAUGUAUUCUCCCAGAUAUAUAUAUUUGUUCAUGGCAGUUUAAAUGAAAAGAAGAAGAAGAGAUAUUUAGUCAU